CAGUACUCCCACACAUCCACCAUAAAACCUUUUCCCUUCCACAGUGAUAAUCUUAUAACUUAUUCAUAUCAUAUUUACUUAAACUGAUGUACAGACUCUGAGACAAUAGCUUUCAAACAAGGUGACAUCUGUGCUUACAUUGUGGUCCAUACUUUAGGAUAUACAGUUUUCUAAAUUUUUAGUUAUCCUCUGUUUUACAUUAUGGUGUACAUUACUGAAUCCAUUUCUAAUCCCUGUUCCCCGCUCUUUUCCAGCCAUUUCCUCUGCUCGGGCCUCCUCAUUUCUUGCUGGUACUGCUGCUGAGCAACUAUCAUACCUGCAUGUGGCACCUUCCAUCAUCCUCCAUGCCCAAGUGCAUGAUCUCUACCACAAGCAACUUGGAAUCUACCCUGCCUUUGUCCAGCAUCUCCAGAUCUCCCUUCACCAAUAGGAUAAAUCCCUUUUACCUGGCCUGCUUGAGGGCUCUCGAUGAUCCAGCCAGCCCUUCCCAGUCUUAUUUCUGCUUUUCCCUCCCUCUUACUGACUUGUGCUGGUAGAAACACCCUCAAGCUUCCAUCUUUCCUGGAACACGCCAUGCUCUUUCAUGUCUCCGUGCUUUUGCACAUGCUGUCCCUGUGCCUGGAAUACCCUCCCUGCUGGUCCACCUGGCAUCCAUCUGAGGCUCAGCUCUAAAGCUACUCAGCCCCCUCACCCUAAUCUCAUAUCCCUGGGGCUUUGUACCAGCAGCCAGAGCCCCUUGAGCACCAAGCACAGAGCACCAGGGAACCUUAGCUGAAUGAAUAAAACUUUCUGGCCAGGCCAGAAAGUCAGUCACCAAAAGGCAGUUUUCUCUGUAAACAUCUGGUGGCACAGCAGGAGCAAUGAGAAAACUGCUCCCAAUUGUUUGAACUAGUGCAUCAAUUAGGCUGCGUUGUCAUAAAGGAGGAUGUAUAAAAAUAUAGCCUUAAAUGUUAAAAGAAUCAUGUGAACUCACACAUGUGUGGUAGUAUCACUUACUGCUUGCUGGGAUCAUCAUCAUCACCAACAUUUUGGGGGCUUCCACUGUGUGCCAGAUUCUGUGCUCAGUAUUGCAUGCACAACCUCUUGUUUUAAGACUGGGUUGCAUGUUACUGCCCCCAUAUUCAGUAAGGGAAACUGAGGCUCA
Molecule: long non-coding RNA, 1144 nt
Filed under: Dasypus novemcinctus (nine-banded armadillo)
Lineage: Eukaryota; Metazoa; Chordata; Mammalia; Cingulata; Dasypodidae
Description: lncRNA (ENSDNOG00000050626.1)
Source: RNAcentral